RNAcentral lists this ribosomal RNA (486 nucleotides) under uncultured bacterium. RNAcentral's name for it is "partial 16S ribosomal RNA". It matches the Rfam family "Bacterial small subunit ribosomal RNA", at positions 30 to 507 of the family's 1533-position model. The record is from RNAcentral.
AUUGAACGCUGGCGGCAUGCCUUACACAUGCAAGUCGAACGGCAGCACGGGUGCUUGCCCCUGGUGGCGAGUGGCGAACGGAUGAGUAAUACAUCGGAACAUGUCCUGUAGUGGGGGAUAGCCCGGCGAAAGCCGGAUUAAUACCGCAUACGUUCUACGGAUGAAAGCGGGGGACCUUCGGGCCUCGCGCUAUAGGGUUGGCCGAUGGCUGAUUAGCUAGUUGGUGGGGUAAAGGCCUACCAAGGCGACGAUCAGUAGAUGGUCUGAGAGGACGACCAGCCACACUGGGACUGAGACACGGCCCAGACUCCUACGGGAGGCAGCAGUGGGGAAUUUUGGACAAUGGGCGAAAGCCUGAUCCAGCAAUGCCGCGUGUGUGAAGAAGGCCUUCGGGUUGUAAAGCACUUUUGUCCGGAAAGAAAUCCUUGGCUCUAAUACAGUCGGGGGAUGACGGUACCGGAAGAAUAAGCACCGGCUAACUACGUG